RNAcentral lists this ribosomal RNA (907 nucleotides) under uncultured bacterium. Its description in RNAcentral is "bacterial SSU rRNA". It matches the Rfam family "Bacterial small subunit ribosomal RNA", at positions 8 to 908 of the family's 1533-position model. The record is from RNAcentral.
AGAGUUUGAUCAUGGCUCAGAACGAACGCUGGCGGCGUGGAUAAGACAUGCAAGUCGAACGAGAAAUGCGAAUAGCUUGCUAAUUGCAUUUCUAGUGGCGGACGGGUGCGUAACACGUGAGCAACCUACCCUGAAGCGGGGGAUAGCCUUCCGAAAGGAAGAUUAAUACCGCAUGUGGCCUUCGGGUCAAAGACGGCUUCGGCUGUCGCUUUGGGAUGGGCUCGCGGCCUAUCAGCUUGUUGGUGAGGUAAUGGCUCACCAAGGCUACGACGGGUACCUGGUCUGAGAGGACGAUCAGGCACACUGGAACUGAGACACGGUCCAGACACCUACGGGUGGCAGCAGUCGAGAAUCAUUCACAAUGGGGGAAACCCUGAUGGUGCAACGCCGCGUGGAGGAUGAAGGCCCUCGGGUCGUAAACUCCUGUCAUCGGAGAGUAAGCUUUGGUCGUUAAUAGCUUCCAAAGUUGAUAGUAUCCGAAGAGGAAGGGACGGCUAACUUCGUGCCAGCAGCCGCGGUAAUACGAAGGUCCCAAGCGUUGUUCGGAAUCACUGGGCGUAAAGAGUAUGUAGGCGGUAUGGAAAGUCAGAUGUGAAAUCUUGGGGCUCAACCCCGAAACUGCAUCCGAUACUCCCGUACUAGAGUAAUGGAGGGGUGACUGGAAUUCUCGGUGUAGCAGUGAAAUGCGUAGAUAUCGAGAGGAACACUCGUGGCGAAGGCGAGUCACUGGACAUUUACUGACGCUGAGAUACGAAGGCCAGGGUAGCGAAAGGGAUUAGAUACCCCUGUAGUCCUGGCAGUAAACGGUGCACGCUUGGUGUGGCGGGAUUCGACCCCUGCCGUGCCGGAGCUAACGCGUUAAGCGUGCCGCCUGGGGAGUACGGCCGCAAGGCUAAAACUCAAAGAA